UGCAGUCACGUGACAUGGUUUGUUCCUAUUUAAGGAGCAAAGUCUGUAUAGGUGAUUCAUAUCCACACCACAGCCUGACCAUCGUCAAGAUGAAGAAGGUGCCAGUCAUCCUUGCUCUGCUCGCCAUCAUUCUGUGUCACCGUGCGGAGGCAUUCAUCGUCCAAUGCGCAUGCGCAACUGAUGCGGUAAGAGUGAGGAACAGGCCUGGAAUCUGGAACACGCAAGUCCACGUCAUGUUCCCUGGGUGGUGCAGGCGUUACCUUGGAGAAACCGCCAGGGCCGGAGAUUAUGUUUGGAGGAAGAUAGAGUACGACAAUGCUCCUGCCUGGGUUCCUACCAACUGGGUGCAAAUCAAGACCAAGUUUUUCUUUUGCUAAGUUCACAUCAAACGGAUCGCCAGAGAUGUUCAAGUGAACGUCUGCCCUUGGAUCUGCGUGCAGUCACCUGAAGCACCCGGUGUCUGUCCACAUCUCUGAGGAUGCUAAUACCUGGCGACUGUGAAUGCUGAGCCAGUCCCUUCAAAAUUUCACGUGCACAAAAACAAUAACUCCAAUUAUGUUUUUAGUGGACAUAUAAUAAAGUUAUUUAUAAGAGAUUCAGUAUUUUUUGUUAGCUUCUUUAGAAAUUUUUAUUUUCAAAUUUUAUUAUA
Long non-coding RNA from Pomacea canaliculata, 649 nucleotides. RefSeq lists it as uncharacterized. The record is from RefSeq and is a predicted model, not a curated record. NCBI's taxonomy places the organism in Eukaryota, Metazoa, Mollusca, Gastropoda, Architaenioglossa, Ampullariidae. The transcript is spliced from 3 exons.